This is an RNA transcript of Oryctolagus cuniculus (rabbit), 1669 nucleotides long. RefSeq lists it as uncharacterized. The record is from RefSeq and is a predicted model, not a curated record. Lineage: Eukaryota; Metazoa; Chordata; Mammalia; Lagomorpha; Leporidae.
CCCCGGGAAGGGGCGGGGCUGGGCCCCUGCAGCCCGGGCUGCGGUUGGGGAGGCGCAGGCCCUCGGAGGGGCGUGGGGAGGGAGGGCUUGGCGGGCCUGAGCGGGGGAGGGGGAGACCGUUAAAGUCCGGCACCGCGCCCACAGGAAGCUGCUUGGGCGACGAGCUAACUCCACUUGUUGCCAGACUCUCGGCUGGGGAAGACCUUGAAGACCAUGUGGUCCAACUUCCAAUGUGCAGAUGUGGAAAGUAAACCCAGAGGGGAUGGGACUUGUCCAAAGUCGCAGCAGCCGGCUAGCGGCUUGGUCAGGGCUGUCCUCGGGGACUCUGGGCUGCCCUUGACCCUACAGGCGUCUUGCCUCCCCGCUCCAGGAGUCCCCUUAGGCCAUUCGUAGGGUUUGAGACCUGUUCUGAAGUCUGACUUAGGGAAGGGCUAAGAGACUCCCGUUAGAUCCCUGUCCAUAGCUACCGGGUACUUGAAGUAGAAGUGUUUCGUUCACCCUGCAGGGUACCCUUGUACACGCACAUCCUCGAGUCAAAGAAUGUGCAUAGGCCAAAAGCUCCGCGGUUCUUGGCCUUGGAAAGUUCAGAGUCCUGGGAAAAACUCAAGCCCUCCCCCCCACCCCCUUGGUAGGAAAAUGCACAUAGAGAACAUGUGUGUCGGGUUUCUUGGCUUCUCCAGUAUUGGCAGGUGGGCUCCAGGUUGAUUUCCUAAGCGUAAAUUUUCAGCGUAUGGAUCUAGGAUGGGUUGGAUGUAACUGGCUUCAGCUCCGUUGUAUAUCCUGAGCUUGUGAAAUAAUCGCGCUCCACCUGCCACCCUCGGGAAACCUCGGAGGAAGUCCUUCGGGAGAACUGGGGAAGCUUAGCCAACUACGCCUGGCUCCGCUGGAACCAUCUUCGCGGCUCUGAGGCCACUCCCCAGCCCCCUCUCCCCCCGUGACUGCUGACUCCCCGGAGCUGAGCCCUAACUAACCCCAGCCUCUGCCGCAUCUUCUCACCGCAUCUUCUCACCGUGGCACAACUGCCCCAGGGAAAAACGAGCUGAUUGUGAAAUGAAGGAGAAGAAAACUGGAUUUCAGUCUUACGCUGGCACAUCUGCUGUUUGAACCUGACCAAGCUUCUUAGCCUGCACCAGUCAGCACUCCCCAGUGUCUGCUUCUUCAAGGAGACACUGAUGCCGCUGAAAGCCCUGCUCCUGUGUGCGGCGUUGUGACUCGGGUGCCGGCGCCCAUCGGGCAGAGCGUGCCCCGCUUUAGUUCUUCAGUCAGAGCCCCCCGAGCCGCACGUGCUGUCCGCUGCUGCUUCUGCUGUGAAUCCCCCGUCUUCCAUUAGGGCACGGCCAGCGUUCACUUUUCCCGUGGGCGUGGGCGUGGACGUGGACGUGGCUGGUCUGCUGCUGUGGGCACCGUCCUCAGUGCCGUCUUGUCCCUUGUUAGACAGUCUGUGCCAGCAGUUAGGAUGUCCAAGUCCUGUAUUGCAAUGCAACCCCUGGGUUCGACACUGGCUCCAGCUCCUCCUAACUCCAGCUAUCUGUAUUUCCCAAUGCUUUGAUACCAGGGGCCGUGCUGACUCCAGACAGACUGCCUCUCCCAGGCCGAUUCUUGGGGUGGCCAUUGUAAAAUCAUUACUUCUCUUUUUCCUUGACCUGCCAGUGACCUUUUUAAAAUCCUG